UUACGGGGUGCAGCAGGCGCGAAACCUCUGCAAUAGGCGAAAGCUUGACAGGGUUACUCUGAGUGAUUUCCGUUAAGGAGAUCUUUUGGCACCUCUAAAAAUGGUGCAGAAUAAGGGGUGGGCAAGUCUGGUGUCAGCCGCCGCGGUAAUACCAGCACCCCGAGUGGUCGGGACGUUUAUUGGGCCUAAAGCAUCCGUAGCCGGUUCUACAAGUCUUCCGUUAAAUCCACCUGCUCAACAGAUGGGCUGCGGAAGAUACUAUGGAGCUAGGAGGCGGGAGAGGCAAGCGGUACUCGAUGGGUAGGGGUAAAAUCCGUUGAUCCAUUGAAGACCACCAGUGGCGAAGGCGGCUUGCCAGAACGCGCUCGACGGUGAGGGAUGAAAGCUGGGGGAGCAAACCGGACUAGAUACCCGGGUAGUCCCAGCUGUAAACGAUGCAGACUCGGUGAUGAGUUGACUUUAUGCCAAUUCAGUGCCGCAGGGAAGCCGUUAAGUUUGCCGCCUGGGGAGUACGGUCACAAGACUGAAUCUUAAAGGAAUUGGCGGGGGAGCCAA
Molecule: ribosomal RNA, 555 nt
Filed under: uncultured archaeon
Lineage: Archaea
Description: bacterial SSU rRNA
Rfam family: Archaeal small subunit ribosomal RNA
Source: RNAcentral